UACGGAGGGGGCUAGCGUUGUUCGGAAUUACUGGGCGUAAAGCGCGUGUGGGUGGAUUGGUGUGUCAGAUGUGAAAUCCCUGGGCUCAACCCAGGAACUGCACCUGAAACUACCAGUCUUGAGUGGUGGAGAGGGAAGUGGAAUUCCUGGUGUAGAGGUGAAAUUCGUAGAUAUCAGGAGGAACACCAGUGGCGAAGGCGGCUUCCUGGACACCAACUGACGCUGAGACGCGAAAGCGUGGGGAGCAAACAGG
RNAcentral lists this ribosomal RNA (253 nucleotides) under uncultured bacterium. Its description in RNAcentral is "partial 16S ribosomal RNA". It matches the Rfam family "Bacterial small subunit ribosomal RNA", at positions 524 to 776 of the family's 1533-position model. The record is from RNAcentral.